GAUGAACGCUGGCGGCGUGCCUAAUACAUGCAAGUCGAGCGAACGGACGAGAAGCUUGCUUUUCUGAUGUUAGCGGCGGACGGGUGAGUAACACGUGGAUAACCUACCUAUAAGACUGGGAUAACUUCGGGAAACCGGAGCUAAUACCGGAUAAUAUUUUGAACCGCAUGGUUCAAAAGUGAAAGACGGUCUUGCUGUCACUUAUAGAUGGAUCCGCGCUGCAUUAGCUAGUUGGUAAGGUAACGGCUUACCAAGGCAACGAUGCAUAGCCGACCUGAGAGGGUGAUCGGCCACACUGGAACUGAGACACGGUCCAGACUCCUACGGGAGGCAGCAGUAGGGAAUCUUCCGCAAAGGGCGAAAGCCUGACGGAGCAACGCCGCGUGAGUGAUGAAGGUCUUCGGAUCGUAAAACUCUGUUAUUAGGGAAGAACAUAUGUGUAAGUAACUGUGCACAUCUUGACGUUACCUAAUCAGAAAGCCACGGCUAACUACGUG
RNAcentral lists this ribosomal RNA (497 nucleotides) under uncultured bacterium. RNAcentral describes it as "partial 16S ribosomal RNA". It matches the Rfam family "Bacterial small subunit ribosomal RNA", at positions 28 to 507 of the family's 1533-position model. The record is from RNAcentral.